CCCCCUCGUUGGCCGGGCACAGGGGUUCUAUGGCUCAGUUGGGCUCGAGUCGAUGGCCCUGCACAUGAACAUGAACCUCGUAUUCACGACCCCGGAGUACAACGGCAGCACCCUGAGCAUAUUGGGCCACAACCCGGCACUCGAGACCUAUCGGGAGAUGCCUAUCGUCGGUGGGACCGGCGUUUUCCGGCUGGCAAGUGGGGUCGUGACGGCGAAGACGUACUUUCUCAACCUCACCACCGGCGAUGCUGUAGUUGAAUAUAAGGUCAUAGCUUUGCAUUACUAGAUAUAUCGUGGCUUGUGUUGUAGUCAAGUCCAAAGGUUAUGGAGGAAAUUACAUCGUUCUAGUUGUGUGUGGAUGCUCUAUCGUUUCCAAUUUGGUUAUGCUCUACGUGCUUUGUGAUUUUUCAUUGAUUUUGGUGGUCUGGAAUCUUCCUGUGUGGGCUCUAGAUGAACUAUAAAUUGGACUCGAUUUAUCACUGAGUAGGUAAUGUUACAAUGUUCGCCGCCAUGUGAGAUCAAGCUUGCUGAAAAUGUCAAUGAUUUUACCCACCUAAUAAUUAUGAAAGUUGAUGCAGUCAACGUUAAUUUUUUUAUUAUAUUUUGGAGUUCCCAUUUUAAAGUUACUGAAACCUAAGAUUAUGUCUUGAUUUGGUUUCAAUUUGAAAACUGUCACGCGGCAAGCUCAGUCAACCACCACCUAACAAUAAUAUUCAGGGCUGUACGUCUUGUUCAACUUAAUAAUUGGAAUUGGUGUGUUUGAACAAGCUUUUACAAUAUAUUAGGCAAUGCAUGAAAACUUGAGUAAAAUUAUAUUACUGAAUUAUAUUUGGCUUUACACAUCUUGGUCUAGUAAAGAUGUGGUAGGAGGGCUUACUAUAAGCAUAGCGUUUUAGUAGUGACCAGUGAUGGAUGGGUUCAUUAGACAUGCCUAUAUAGAAAUGGCUAAGGUCUUCUCUCCAUUUUCUAAUGUACAUAGUUAUUGUUCUAUCCAUCAAGAGUCGUCAAGGUAAAAUGGAGAUUAGAGACAAUGACUUAAGUAAAGAAGUUCAACUACAAUCAAAUUUGUUGAUUCUGCAUAUUGUUCAUUUGAUUAAUUAGGGGUCAAUUUUUUGGAAAUCUAUGUAAUGUAUAGUGAUCUUGAGUUGAAUGUUUUAUUUAUAUUGGCUUGACUUGCUUACGGAGCGCUCUUCAUUAAUAUAUGUAAUUAGGAGUGACGAUAAAUUUGGAUUUGAGUGAAAAUGAAAGGACCAUCAUCAAUGUUUCUCUCUAAUGAUUGUUAUACUUAUCGUUCAUCAUUUAAGUUGUGAGCAAAAAGAGAAUACUAAUUAUGUCAUUUUAGGAAAAAAAAUGUCGAAUCUCGAGUAGAGUACAUAUGUCCUAAAAAAGCCUAAAAUAAUUAUGGCUAAAAGAAUUAGAAAAAGAAAAACUAAAGGAGAAAAAUCGCGUCAAAAGAGAAGGUAGUUAUUGACAUUUUGGCAUUUCCAUGAUAACGGCAUCCAAGGCUUCGGAAGGGAGAACGCAGUUUAGCAGGCGCCUCUUCAUGGGGUGGGGUGGGGCCCGGUGCGACGGCGGGUGCAUUCCGGCUCAUACGCUGAGUCUGGAAGCCGUUGCGAUCUUGCAACUCCUGUUAAAAAAAAUAAAAAUCCGACGGUUCCCCCAACCUCGUACGGAGGAAGUCAACAUGCUGACGUGGAAGCUCCUUGACCCAUGACGUGGGCCCCACCAGAAGAGACGUGAACUGGCAACAAGUCCCAAUAUCGACUGGUCUCGUGGUAGUGCCUGCAUUUUCCAUAAUCCAUCUUAGCUAGUCAUUUAUUUGUUGGGGCUUGACAAUUUGGCAUAUCUAUUUACCAACUUAUAUUGUUUUAUCAUCUAUGGAUGUCACUUAUUUUGUUUAAUGGUGAAAUAUUAACUAUUUGCUACUAUCGUGAGUAUUUACACCUUCCAAAAUUAAGAGGAACCGCACAAUUUAGUUGUCCAAGGAAUGACCGUUGCUAGCGAUAUGCUAGUUCUUCUAACUAGAUUAUUUUGUUGCUUGUGGUUAUCAAUAUUUCAAUAUUUGAUUUGCUCUAGAAUUAUAGGUUUUCUAAUUUUGUUUUUCCCCCCUUCAUAUUUAAGGAAUCUUACUUGGUGGGAGUACGAUAUGAGGAAAUCCCACCAAGUAAAACUUUCCAAUUUCAAACUUUUCAAGAAAGUCAGUUAAUUUCUUGAAAUUAAGUGUGGUGGAGAAGCUACAUUUGUUUUUAAAGACUAAUGGUUUGUUAGCUCAUCAUUUUCCUUAUAAAAAGGAUUGAUAUAUAUAUAUAAUAUUGGAAGAUAUCGUUUGCUAGAGUAUCAAUAGAAAUAUUGACGAAAUAUGACAUGUCGCAAGGCCAUCUGAACUUUUGACAAAUGGAUUGCGUUGAGUCCACUUGAUGGUACUUCUUCUUCUUCUUCUUCUUCUUUUUUCUUGAUCUAAAAACGUGGAAUUUUCAUUGCUAAACCGAAGAUGUUGAAUUACAAAAAAGUUCGAGCUCCAAACAUAUAUUAACCAAAGGGGAUGUAGGGGAUGUGUAACCCAAUCCGUUGAAAGAGAGCCGACACGAUGGGCUUAAGCAACCUAAUCAGCCGUUUGAUUAAAUUCUCUUCACUCAAACCGGAUGAAAACUCCUUUUAAUUGGCUCAGAAGAUUAGUGCAAUCUUUAAUGAUGGACCUGGGGCCCAUGGCGUUUCAGAGGAAAGUACAGCUGCAGAUCAAUAAACUAUCUGCUGAUAAGAGGACUUGCAGAUCAGAGGAAAGUACAGCUGCACUUUGGGGGUUCUUUCGUGCGUUUCUUUCUUCCCGCUGUCUAAGUCACCAAAGUGCAGCCCGCACAACUAGGGCUUCUGCGAUUGAUGCUGAGGGAGCAAAAAUUUGCUGCACGAACCCACCUGUGAGCACCCCAUCUCUGGUUCUGCAAAGGACAGCAGCUGAACCCUCCAUAGUUGAGCUAUUCCAGGCCGCAUCCACGCUUAGUUUGAAGCCGAUCUGGGUUGGAGAGGGCUCCUUCAGCUGUUCACCAGAUUCUGCAGGUUCUUUUGCUUUAUUUCGGGUGAGUUUGCUAUCUCCAUACUUUACAACUAGCUGAGUCGUGUAAAUUGCUUCCUCAAUCAUUAAGCUCGAGUUUGGUUUUUUUGUCUUGAAAGAUGAGGUUGUUCCGCGCCUGCCAGAUUCUCCAAACCAGAUCCGCAAAUAUGGCCUUUGCUUCUUGGGUAUCUCGCGCGGUAAGGUUCUCCCACACCCAUUUGUCCAUUCGAUUACAUAUGUGAGGUGAUAGAUCUACUUUUAUCCUCUGAUCCGCCCAUAUUUGGUUUGUCUAGGGACACCAAAAUGAAUGUGUUCUGUUGUUUCGGGCACUUGGCCGCAUAAUGGGCAUUCAAGUUCAGGUAGCAUUUUCCUCUUGUAUAAAUUUUCCUUCGUAGGCAAAGCGUUGUUGCUCGCACUCCAAAUUAAGAAUUUGACUUUGGAGUAGGUCUUUAGCUUCCAAAUCUCAGUCCAAAGUUUUUUUGGUGGCUAGUAAGAUGUAGAUGGCUGGUUUGUCGUUUGGGUUUUGUCUGGGUUGCGAAACUUGUUAUAUCCACUUUUUACUGUGUACGAGCCUGAGUUGUCGGCUGUCCAAAUAAGCUUGUCUAGCCUGGGUGAGUGGCUUAGCAGAGUUGCUAAUAUUUCUUUGACAAUUCUCUCUUCCAAAAACUUUUGUAGUAAAGGAAUGUUCCAUCCUCUUUCAUUAUGAUCCAUUACUUUAGCUACCAAGUGGGGUUCAUUUUGGUUUGCCAGACCUCCAAUUUUGCCUGAAAGUAGCCAUCUAUCCUUUCUAAUUUUGAUCUUGUUACCAUCACCCACCUCACAUUUAAUCUCUGGCUCAAUUGUAUCUCUCCCUAGUAGUAAGCUUUGCCAGUGUUCAUUGUCCAAAACUCCCCUCUGGGAAAGUAGAUCCCUUUGAACAGUCUGCUCCAUAUAGCAUUAGGGUCUUGAGUGAGCCUCCAAACUUGUUUCCCCAGCAUGGCCUUGUUAAAGUCGACUAGGUCUCGAAACCCAAGCCCCCCCCCCAAGUCUUUUCUCUUUUUUAGAGUGUCCCAUUUUUUCUAAAGUACCCCCUUUCUAGCAGCAUUUUUCUUCCACCAGAACGAAGAAACUUUCUUUUCAAUAGCUCGACAAAUCGAUAUGGGGAGUUUGAAAAUAGACAUGACAAACUAAGGUAAUGCUUGUACUACCGUUUUGAUCAGAAUCUCUUUGCCUGCCUUCGACAUUAGCUUCUCUUUCCAUCCUUCCAAUUUACUAUCAAUUUUUGCAAGAACUCAGGAAAACAUUUCCUUCUUUGUUUGUCCCCAGUCCGAAGGAACAACCAGAUAUUUCCCUAUUUUCUCCAUGAUUGGCACUCUCAAUUCUGCUGCUAUAUUCUGUUUUAGGCCUUGGGGACAGUUUUUCCCAAAGUAAAUACUUGACUUGUUGAGAUUGAUGGCUUGUCCAGAUGCAAAACAAUACUGAUGCAACAUAUUUGCUAAAUUUUGAGCCUCAAUGAUAGUGCCAUUUAGGAAAUAAAAUAACAUCAUCCGCGAAUAAGAGAUGUGAUAGUGCAGGGCAGUAUUGAUUUAGUUUAAUGCCCUUUAAGCUGCUGUCUUGUAAAGCUUUUAGUAUAAAGGAGGAUAGAAUGUUGGCCAUAAUAAUGAAAAGAUAGGGAGAUAGGGGGUCUCCUUGUUUGAUCCCUCUAGUCGGCUUGAAGUAAUUACCUGGCUCCCCAUUAAUUUUGACGCUAAAAGAUACUGAGGAUAUACAUUGUUUGACCAAAGACACCCAUUUGUCACAGAAACCCAUUUGUAGCAUGCAAUUACAUAGAAAAUCCUAUUCUACCCUGUUAUAAGCUUUUUGCAUAUCAAGUUUGAGAACUGCUUGGAAUUUUUGCUUACUUUUCCUUACUCUUAGCUGAUGUAGGACCUCAUGAACUAUAAAAAUAUUAUCUUGUAUUUGACGCUCCCCCACAAAUGCACUUUGUUAAGGAGAUAUAAGUUUCUUCUCCUCUACAGAGGGGAAAACAAAGAUAUAGUACCCAGGAUAGAUCAUUUCACAUUUUACCAAAUCAGUCUUCCAUGCUUUCUUCAUAGUGCUGGAAAAGGCUUGAAAGUUGACAUUUGGCUUUGAGAAAAGUUUACCAUAUAGAAUAAGUUCACGUUCUCAUCUUUCUAGUUCAGGCAUUUCAUCGACCAGUUUGGUUACAUCUUCCUCUAACCACAAAUCACCCAUACUCUUGCAAAGUGCCAUUACUCUAAGCUAAUUAUCCUGUGUGCUCUCCAUCCUAUGGCUGAAAGGAUGAAAGAAAAUCCCAAGAAGAUGUAGUUGUCAAGUGGGAAUACUGGUAAGAUUCUAGGUGUGUUUGUUUCACGGAAACGUAAUGUUUUUGGAAAAUGUUUUUCAAGAAACCAUUUUUCAGGAAAAUGGAUAGUUUUCCUUUGUUUGGUGAUACGUGACUAAAAGUGUUUUCUAAUGUUUGGAUCGCAUUUGAAAAAUGAUCUAACAAUUGACAAUAGUGUGCAUCUUACUUCCAAAUUAAUUUAUUGAGUCCAUGUUACUUUAUAAACGGAUUUUUCUCGAUCAGAUUAGUAUAUCUAGAAUUUGAACCUGUAAAAUGAAAAGGAAACCUAAAUUCACACUUAUUUUUUUUUUCCUGAAAAUGGACAUGAUUUGAGAUCUUUUAUAUAUAACAUUACAUUAAUUUGUAUUUUUUUCGUGAUAUUAAGUAGGAAGUAAAAGAAGCGAAAAGAAAGGAAAAGGGAGAAAGGAGGAAAACAUCACCAUCUGUCCAUAUAAUCGGCACUAGCAAGCUAAAAUCUCUUUCUUUCUUUUUCUUAUUAUAGAUUUGAAUGUUUCAAAAGGUUGUCCUUCUCUUUAAAUAAGAGGCAAGAAAUUUGGGAAAUAAAUAAAAGAAAUACAUCUAAAAAGAAAAUAAAAAAUCUUAGAAGAAACAUUCCUUUUCCAGUAGAGACAUAAAUCGAUCCCCCAAAUUCGAAGCCCCUCGCUCGCUCACAACCAUCCAAAAAUCAAAUCCAUUUUCCGCUCAAAAUUACCAAAAAAAAAAAACCCACCAAAUAAAAAAUUAAAAAAAUGGGCUGUACACACACGAACUCCCUCUCUCUCUUUCUCUCUCUAGCUCGACGACAUCGAUGGCUGACCCGUCCUCCUCACCGCCCCCUCCUCCAAUCCCUAGCCUCCUUCUCCCACCAUACUUGCCACUGCCUCCGCCUCUACCCCCCAGCUUGGAGUAGCCGCCGCCGCAGCAGCCGUGAUCCUCUUCUCUUUCCUGAAGCGGCCGGCCCUCCAGGUCACCUCCGAGUACGACAAUGACAACUCCGUCUUCCUCUAAAAGGUCUCGUGCAAGCUUCUCAACAUCCUCGCCAAGCUCAAGCUCUCCUUCCGCAAUGACCAGAAGGGCGAGGUCGCGGAGCCCCGGCUGGACUUCGUCUCCAAGCACCUCCUCCUCCACUACGACGUCGAAAAAGCGAAAGAACCUGGAAUCGUGUUGAGCAUUGUUGAAGAAGAGCUAGACCUUCAAUGAUGAAGAAGAAGAUCUGGACCUUCAAUGGCGAAGAAGGUGCGCAUCGUUGAAGAAGAGCCGAAGAAGAAAGAUGAGCGAAAGAGCGAAGGGAGAGAGCAACGUACCUCUGAAAAAUUUGGAGAGGAAAAGUGAAAGGUCAAGGAGAGAAAAUGAAAAUGGAAAGUGUUUCACCUUCUCAGGCGGGGGAAUUCGAUUUCCUAAAAUAAUACAUAACAUUUGUGUUUGACCGGAAAGUAUUUUCUGUUGACCAAAUCUUUUCUAGAGAACCAACGGCUGAAAAUCCGGAAAACACUUUCUCGUAAAAUACUUUCAGUGAAACAAACACACCCUAAAUUUAGGAGUGAUGGGAGCCCUAGCUAGUUUGAGAGUUUUCUGAGCAAGCAGUAUAUAUAUAAUCUGCAUCAAACUGUUUUUGUAGGUCUUGUCCGAAAAGAAGGAUUUAGCUAUUGGGUGCGGAAAUCGCCCAAGAAAAGAUGCUUAACCAAGUUUCUCUGAUGCUGUGUUUGUGAGACAACAUCCUAAACCAUCGGUGCUUAACCAGGUUGCACUUGAUGGUACUUCACUUCUGUAAAAAGUGUGUCGAACGAGGUCUGAAUGGAGGUGACGUUUAGAAAUUUAGGUGACUUUUAGAAAUUUGAGUGUGGUGGAAAGUAAUUGCUUUAAAAGAGAAAAUCUAAAUUGACUAGAAAUGUAUAUAAUUGAAUUACAUCAAAAAGGAAAAGUAUAGAGAAAUGUAAACAGGCAUAGGGACACCCUCAAGCUCGUCGUCCCCGACCCCUGCUCCCUCCCCCAGCUCCGCCGCAUCCUCGCCGGCCGCCUCUCCCCCUCGCCCCCUCCCGGCGUCUCCUUCCGCCUCUCCCUCAACCGCACCGACGAGCUCCGGUCGCCGGAUCCCGCCGCUUCCCUCCAGUCCCUCGGCCUCGCGUCCGGCGACCUCGUCUACUUCUCCCUCGGCCCCGAUGCGCUCGCUUCUCCUCGGGUAGGCGAUAGCUCCUCGAGCGCCGAAUCCUCCGCAGGGACGUCGGGUCGGGUCGGGUCUCCCUAGGGCACGCAGAGAUGGAUUCCGAAGAUCUGCACGGGGGGCGGCCUCGGGAGGUUGCGGAUUCGGAGAUGGUCGAUUCGGUGCCUGAAGAUGCGCCGGGAGCCGAUGCUUCGGGGAGCGCCGGGGAUCCAGGUAAUUCCGUCUCUGCAAGUGUUGAUUUUGAGGGCGACGGCGUUGUGGCCGCGGAUGACUCGACUGGGGUUCGCAGCAAGUUCUCCGAGCCUUACUUUCUGAGGAGGGUUUUGAGAGAGGAAUUGGGUGGGGACGGUGGUGACCAUAGGCUUCUGGUUAUUGCGGUGCAAGCUGUUCUGCUGGAACCCGGUUUCGUCGCGGUUGAUCCGGUGACUGGAAUGCCUGCCGAUCGGUUUCAUCUCUCCGAUCAAUGGCCUUCCGCGGCAUUUACGAUGACGUUGCAGUACAGUCUGCCUGAGCUUGUGGCUAGGACGCAGGGUCUGAAUGUAACUGAGAGUCUUGUUCUGAAGUUUGAGAGUUUAGGUCACUUUAUAAGUGUCUAUGGGCGUCUGGCUAAAGCCAAGUCGGUGUUGAUUAGAGUCUGUUUGAACGAGCGCAGAUUUGCUCCUAUUAUAGACGUGAUGUGGGUGAAAGGCGAUGACAAUGUGGAAGUGAAUGAGGAUGGUGGAUCUUUGAAUCUGAGUUCUGAAAAACAAGUGUUUGAGUUUUGGAAGAUUGUAAAAGAUGGUUUGGCAUUGCCGCUGUUGAUAGACCUAACUGAAAGAGUCGGUUUGCCGCUUCCAUCUUGCUUCACAUGCCUUCCAACGGAACUGAAGCUCAGGAUUUUCGAAUUGCUUCCUGGAAUUGACCUUGCAAGGGUAGGGUGUGUAUCUUCUGAACUACGGUAUUUGGCAUCCGAUAAUGAUUUGUGGAAGCAGAAGUAUGAUGAGGAGUUUGGAGAGCGGAUAGAAAGCAGCCGAGAGAUCAAUUGGAAGCUGAUUUUCACAUCUGAGGCGAAGAAGAAGAGGAAGUGGGAGAGUAGUUUGUGGUUGUGGCAGAUGCCUACUGCUCGUAUGCCUUUCUCCGUAAGGUUCAGAGAAUUCCGAACCCUUCCGGCGUUCCAGGAGUCAUAGGUGGAGAUUAUGACCGUCUGCCCGGCCUUGGGGUUCCUCCUCCUUUUGGCCCGCCCUUUCGUCGAGUUCAAUUCCGGCGGAAUAUCAUCCCCAGCUGCAAUCUUGGAGGACUUAAUGGCUGACGUGAGUUGGGUUUUGGACGGAUCUUGAUCGACUGUCAAGCAAUGGCUGCUGAGAAAUGGUGGCUUGGAGGCAUCUAUAAUGGCCACUUUGGUGUACAGAUCUAUAGUUUUAGCAAGAUAAAUAUGUGUUAGCAGUAGAGGUUGUAUUUUCGCUGUUGCUUUUUACUUUUUUUUUAGUGUGCUGGAGGUCUCCCUCUCCACCACGCGUCUAGCGCGUGCUUUUCCUUUCAGUCUUGGAGAACUUCUAAUGAAGUUGAUGAAACCUAACCUGCAUAAAAAAAAGAAGAAAUGUAAACGGGCAUGGAAUUGAAAAUUGUAAGGAAAAUAUAAAAUUUAAAGCUCUUACGAAGUGUGUUCCCACUUGUGUGUUCUCCACUUCAACUCUUUAGGCUUUUUUAUGCUAUUGUCGCCUAAUUCUUUGAAAAAGUCUCUCUAUGUAUAAUUUCAAUUCUAUCUUGAAUUUAUUAUUUUCUAAUUUUUUUGCAAACUCUCACUAUAAUCCUAAAUAUGCCCAUUGAUUCAAUAGUCUCCAUUGGUUUCUUCAAAAUUAUUAGUAUCAAGACAAGUUAGAGGCUUGUUAUUAGAGCGGGCAUCUUCAUCAAUACCCCACCCUCAUAUAGAACAACAAUAGACUCUUGAUAUUGGUAAUCUUGAAGAAACCAGUGAAGGUGUGAGCACAUUUGUGAUUAGAAUAAAAAUUGAGGAUCUUUUUUGAUAAAAGAAAAAAGUUUGGAGUGUAGUUGGAAUUAAAUCUAAAGUUGAGGGAGAAAGGACUGUGCGAGCGUGGAUGCACUGUUGCUUCCUAUAAGUAAUUGUGCAGUUUGGGCUGUCCAUUUCAUUUUUGUAUAGUAGGGAACCGGAUGUAAGCUUGCUGUGGAAAAUCAUUAGGGCCUCACACCUGAGAUUUCUCGAUUGAAAAUUCUCUUUUAUUUCUUUCCAAUUUCUCUUCACUUUCUCUCUAUAUUAAUUGUCACUCUCCAUCAUUAAAAGUAGAAGCUCUAUUUCCGGAUAUAGCUCCUGAAGAUUUAGAGUUGCAGUUGUCACCGUUUUUCUUGUUAAUUUGCGUUUGUGUCAUCGUUUCAGAAUAAUCUUAAUUGCCUUACCAGUAUCCUUAGUUAUCGCCCCCACCGUUUCUCGGCUUUCCGAAGCUUCUGAGCACGACUACUACCACAUUCCAUGGUUAGUGAAUAAGAACUGAAUCUCUCUCUGUUGUUCCUUUUUGCUUUGUGUCCUCACCUUUUCUGUGUGACGUUCAACAAUGGUCACCGGUGAGGAAACUAAAUGAGAGUCACUGAUAUUCAUAGGGUUAGUCUAUGCUAAUGUCAUUAAGUGCCUGAAUUUGCCUUGUCAGUUCUUCGCGUUCUACCUAUCUUCUGCAAUACUGAGGCAUCAUCGUCGGAAAGGCCUGUGAACGGAGAUGGUUGCCUUGUGGAGGUUGAAGAUGGAUGGUGGCUGAAUAAGAGGCACUUAAUCUCAUAUUUUCUGGGGGAGUUGGUGGUUCUUAAAGUCUUCGAAAAUAUACGAUCUAGUUUCACGCCUUCUCUUUCUCUCUAGCUCUUCCUCUCUCUUAUAACCGACUCAACGGAGAGAAAGUGAACGUAAUUCGGUUCUCAAAUCCUCCAAGUAUCUAAUUACGGAAAAAUUUGAGUGACCCGAUCAAUAUUUACUUUGAUUUAAGCAACUACAAAAUCCGUUUUGAAUUUGAUAAUAAUAUAUACUCACUUGAUUUAGCCCAUCCAAUCGACCAAUGUCUAAUUUCAAGUUUAAUUGUUAUAUUAUGAAUACAUAUCCUAAUUUGACUGGACAAUUUGCGUUUGCAAAUAACACUGAUUAAUUAUUAAAACAGUUUGCAGCGUUUUAUGUUUGGCUCAAAAUUUUCGCCCUUUAAAAAUAUAUUUAAGAAACUACGUUGAAAUAAGCCGUGUUCGAGUAGAGUAUGAUUGAAAACGCUUUCUCUAGUUUAUCCUCUAUUAUUUUUAAAUUCAAUAAGCUAAAAGCGAAAGCACUGUAAGUAUCGUUCUCUCAAUUUCGGCUUUAACCGUUAUAUAGAUUAGAGUGCCCUUUCUCAUAAAGAUUUUAAAUUUUAAAAAAAAAACCUUAAUUUCAAUCUUUCCAUGGGGUGAAAAUUUGUGGUUGAACUAAUGUGCUUAUCUUUCUUUAGAUCGGCUCCCACACCUACCGCGCACUUUAGAUCGGCUUCCACACCUACCGCCCGCCAAACGAAAAAGAAAAAGAAGGAUUGCAUCGAGAAGUCUAUCGUCAUCAUUCCCCGAUUGCACCAACUAGCUUAUGUUAGAUAGUGCUAAUUGACCCAAGCCAACAUAUUUGAUAGGAUUUGAGAAACUUUACUACAAAGUAAUUGCAAAUAUCCCAUAAUUGGGUCCCAUAACGUGAAUCACGACACUUCAUUGCUGCAAAUUCUAAUCAUAAACGUUGGCGUGAGAGAGUAUCCAUAUUAAUAUACAAUGCCAUUGAUUGCGAUAUCACUUUAUAUUUGCGAUAGACAAGACUAUUGUAUGAUAUUAGAUGACGCAUGACAACUCAAGUUCAAUUGCAUAAUCGAAUAAUAGAAAUGUGUUGGGACGGUGUACAAUAGACAUGACGUCCUAACCGUAUACAAUGAUAGAUGGGCUCUGUAGAAGCAAUUAUACGCAAAAUUAAGUGUGAUCUAGGUAAAAGGGAGAUUGGAGAGAAAGACCUAAGUAAAGAGGCUCGAUUAGAAUCCAAAAGUAAAGUGGUUCGAUUAGAACCAAAUCUAUAGAUUAGGCAAGUGUUAAUAAUUUGAAUAAUCUUUCAAGUGUACCGAAUAAAUAUGUAAUAUAUAGGUGAUCUUGGGUUUGAACGUUGGAUAAGCGAUUUUCUUACGGAGCAUUCGUCAUUAAUACUUCUUCGAUUUUGAAGAAAUGUAACAUGCUACUAACACUUUCCCUACAUUCAAAAAGAAAUGAUUAGUGUCGAUUUGCAAAUCAAAAACCGCAAGGAUGAUGCAAAGUCGGUAGUUACGUGUGAUUGACUCGGUGGUCCCUCGUGAAUCUUUUGAUUUUGAAAAAUUAUUUUGGUCCUAUGACCGAUUAACACCUAUCCUCACGUCUGUCCAUAUAUGUUGCACUCGCGUUUCAUAACGUAGACAACAUGAUGAAGCCUGUCCCUAGUGAAAAAGCACGACCGGUUAAGUGAUUGAUCUCGACCACUUUUGUUGCAUCUUUCUCUGGAGGUGUCUUCUUCAUAAGGCUCCUUUCUGGGUUCAUUUCCGCCUCUAAAUUCCUUCCAAUAGUAUCCACUUUCCCAGCGAUUUCAGAUCGAGAGACAGAGAUGGCGAAGCCAGGUUUACUGGCAAUGGUGGUGACAGCUCUUGCUCUGGUGGUGGCAGCUCUUGCUCUGGUGGUGGCCAUGGUGGCGAAACACGCCCGUGCCGAGGCGGAUGACCCCGGGAAGGUGGACGCCUGGUUCAAUGGGCUUAGCCAUGCCGAUCGCAAGACCACACGCCUCCACUUCUACUUCCACGACACGCUCUCUGGCAGGAAACCCACGGCAGUGCGCGUUGCCGAGGCCACGAUGACCGACAAGUCCCCGACGGGUUUCGGGGUGGUCAACAUGAUCGACGACCCGCUGACCGAGGGCCCUGAGCCAGAGUCCCCCCUUGUUGGCCGGGCACAGGGGUUCUAUGGCUCAGUUGGGCUCGAGUCGGUGGCCCUGCACAUGAACAUGAACCUCGUAUUCACGACCCCGGAGUACAACGGCAGCACCCUGAGCAUAUUGGGCCACAACCCGGCACUCGAGACCUAUCGGGAGAUGCCUAUCGUCGGUGGGACCGGCAUUUUCCGGCUGGCAAGUGGGGUCGUGACGGCGAAGACGUCCUUUCUCAACCUCACCACCGGCGAUGCUGUAGUUGAAUACAAGGUCAUAGCUUUGCAUUACUAGACACUUUGUAGAUAUAUCGUGGCUUGUGUUGUAGUC
Molecule: long non-coding RNA, 12778 nt
Filed under: Eucalyptus grandis
Lineage: Eukaryota; Viridiplantae; Streptophyta; Magnoliopsida; Myrtales; Myrtaceae
Description: long non-coding RNA (EGRA_LNC003980)
Source: RNAcentral